RNAcentral lists this ribosomal RNA (481 nucleotides) under uncultured bacterium. RNAcentral's name for it is "bacterial SSU rRNA". It matches the Rfam family "Bacterial small subunit ribosomal RNA", at positions 32 to 522 of the family's 1533-position model. The record is from RNAcentral.
AAUCAACGCUGGCGGCGUGCCUCAGACAUGCAAGUCGAACGAUUAAGACUUCCUUCGGGAAGUGCAUAAAGUGGCGCACGGGUGAGUAACACGUAAGUAAUCUACCCUCGAGUGGGGAAUAACGUUCGGAAACGGACGCUAAUACCGCAUAACGCAGCGGCACCGCAAGGUGACAGUUGUUAAAGGAGUAAUUCGCUUGAGGAGGAGCUUGCGGCAGAUUAGCUUGUUGGAAGGUAACGGCUUACCAAGGCUACGAUCUGUAUCCGGUCUAAGAGGACGGUCGGACACACUGACACUGAAUAACGGGUCAGACUCCUACGGGAGGCAGCAGUCGGGAAUUUUGGGCAAUGGGCGAAAGCCUGACCCAGCAACGCCGCGUGAAGGAUGAAGUAUUUCGGUAUGUAAACUUCGAAAGAAUGGGAAGAAUAAAUGACGGUACCAUUUAUAAGCUCCGGCUAACUACGUGCCAGCCGCCGCAAGU